Molecule: ribosomal RNA, 121 nt
Filed under: Leucophleps spinispora
Lineage: Eukaryota; Fungi; Basidiomycota; Agaricomycetes; Boletales; Leucogastraceae
Description: partial 18S ribosomal RNA
Rfam family: Eukaryotic small subunit ribosomal RNA (bases 1-64)
Source: RNAcentral
GUCAUUUAGAGGAAGUAAAAGUCGUAACAAGGUUUCCGUAGGUGAACCUGCGGAAGGGUCAUUUAGAGGAAGUAAAAGUCGUAACAAGGUUUCCGUAGGUGAACCUGCGGAAGGAUCAUUA